GACGAACGCUGGCGGCGUGCUUAACACAUGCAAGUCGAACGAGAGUUAGAUCGAAUGAGUUUUCGGACAAAUGAGAUUUAACGAAAGUGGCGAACGGGUGAGUAACACGUGAGCAACCUGCCUUACACAGGGGGAUAGCCAUUGGAAACGGUGAUUAAUACCCCAUAAGACCACAAUACCGCAUGGUAAAAGGGUAAAAGGGAUACCGGUGUAAGAUGGGCUCGCGUCUGAUUAGCUAGUUGGUGGGGCAAAGGCCUACCAAGGCGACGAUCAGUAGCCGGUCUGAGAGGAUGAACGGCCACAUUGGAACUGAGACACGGUCCAAACUCCUACGGGAGGCAGCAGUGGGGAAUAUUGCACAAUGGGGGAAACCCUGAUGCAGCGACGCCGCGUGAGCGAAGAAGGCUUUCGAGUCGUAAAGCUCUGUCCUAUGAGAAGAUAAUGACGGUAUCAUAGGAGGAAGCCCUGGCUAAAUACGUGCCAGCAGCCGCGGUAAUACGUAUGGGGCGAGCGUUGUCCGGAAUUAUUGGGCGUAAAGGGUACGUAGGCGGUUUUUUAAGUCAGGUGUCAAAGCGUGGAGCUUAACUCCAUUAAGCACUUGAAACUGAAAGACUUGAGUGAAGGAGAGGAAAGUGGAAUUCCUAGUGUAGCGGUGAAAUGCGUAGAUAUUAGGAGGAAUACCGGUGGCGAAGGCGACUUUCUGGACUUUUACUGACGCUCAGGUACGAAAGCGUGGGGAGCAAACAGG
This 748-nucleotide ribosomal RNA is filed under the name uncultured Parvimonas sp. RNAcentral describes it as "bacterial SSU rRNA". It matches the Rfam family "Bacterial small subunit ribosomal RNA", at positions 28 to 776 of the family's 1533-position model. The record is from RNAcentral. Lineage: Bacteria; Bacillati; Bacillota; Tissierellia; Tissierellales; Peptoniphilaceae.